UAUAACUGAACCAACCUGGUGCUCUUCAUUUAUGGAGGCUGUUGAGUCUGAAUGUUGGAUGUUGUGUAUCUCGUGUUCUCUGGGCUUUGUUGUCCUCAGUCUUUUUGCAGGAUCAGAAAACAAAACCGGGAGGCGCGUAAAUGUUUCUUCUCCAUGAUGUUUCUUCAAAUGUUUCUUCUGGAUGAUGAUAUGACCGUGACACGGGAUGCCACCUUUGGUCUUGUGACGAAGCAAAGCUCAGGAAGAAGUGUGAUUAAAUGAGCAGAGCAGCAGUUUGUGCUCACAGAUGGUGACGGUGUGGAGAGACGGUGGUAUUUCCUCAGAAGAACCAGCAGAGUCACAAAGGACACCAGUCCAUCUCACCACCUUGACUUGCUGACUGAUGUUCGUCUGCACUGCACAGAGGAAAUCAACUGACCGAGGAGCGUUUCUGAGUGAGGGGGAGAGGAGUCAUCAUCCAGGUAAAGUGACGUGGAUCAGUGGAUACACUUGUCUCCCCUUUAAAGGAGACGAUCCAAGUCAUCCUUAAAUAUGGGCAGUAUAUCAGUCUUGGACUGUCUAACCUGCCGGAGCAGCACUGAAUGACCACCGCACGAGCAUGUUCCUGCAACAUUCAGCAUCUGAUCCUUCAUCUGUGUGCUUCUGCUUUUGUGUCAAAUGUCAAACAGCUGGAGAAGAAACUACACCAGUGUACUGGGAUGUUUCAGCAACACGUGCCAGAUGCUGUUCCUUCAUGGUGACAUCACCAGAGACAGUCCCGCCCACCUCAGGACCCAUUGAUUAUGAUGAUCUGAUCCAUCAAACCCCCAGCAG
Non-coding RNA from Maylandia zebra (zebra mbuna), 813 nucleotides. NCBI's taxonomy places the organism in Eukaryota, Metazoa, Chordata, Actinopteri, Cichliformes, Cichlidae. The record is from RefSeq and is a predicted model, not a curated record.